This 259-nucleotide ribosomal RNA is filed under the name uncultured bacterium. Its description in RNAcentral is "partial 16S ribosomal RNA". It matches the Rfam family "Bacterial small subunit ribosomal RNA", at positions 334 to 590 of the family's 1533-position model. The record is from RNAcentral.
UGUUCCUACGGGGCGCAGCAGUGAGGAAUAUUGGUCAAUGGGAGAGAUCCUGAACCAGCCAAGCCGCGUGAUGGAAGACGGCCCUAUGGGUUGUAAACCUCUUUUGUCGGAGAACAAAACCCGGGACGUGUCCCGGACUGCGUGUAUCCGAAGAAAAAGCAUCGGCUAACUCCGUGCCACCAGCCGCGGUAAUACGGAGGAUGCGAGCGUUAUCCUGAUUUAUUGGGUUUAAAGGGUGCGUAGGCUGUCCGUUCAGUCA